This is a non-coding RNA of Oncorhynchus mykiss (rainbow trout), 2002 nucleotides long. The record is from RefSeq and is a predicted model, not a curated record. NCBI's taxonomy places the organism in Eukaryota, Metazoa, Chordata, Actinopteri, Salmoniformes, Salmonidae.
AAGGGUUUGGAUAGAACCAAAACGGAUUCUAUUCCUUGCUUCAUAUAUGUCACCCCUAAAUGUUCGAUAUAGAACCUCAUGUGUUCUUCUUCACUGAACCAAAAUUGGUUCCACAUAGAACCCUUGGAUUCCAUAUAGGGUUCUAUAUGGAACCAAUUUCGGUUCUAUAUAUAACCUAAAGGGGUGCCAUAUAUGAAGCAAGCAUAGAACCUUUUGUGGGUUCAAUUCAGAUACUUUAUUUCUAAGAGUGUAUAAAAUACAUGCAAAUUAUACAGUUUGCGGUUUGGCAAAAUCUUUUGCAAUAUAAACCAUCAAUGCAAAUGCAAUAAAACGGUCUUUAAAUUUACUUUCACAUAGGCACAUAAUUUAUUUUUUCAUUAUCGUCAACACGUUUUUUCCCAAAGUGUGGCAUUAAUUUAUUUCAAAAUGGUGAUGAAAAAGCAAUUAUUGUCGCAAUCAUUUAAAUCCAAAACCUCUUUGAUUAAACACCACACAUCAUUCAAAUUGGAGCUAUAAAAUUAAGAACAAUUCGCCUGUAAUGAUUAUGGACUGGGUUUAUUUUGGGAAGGUGGAAUAAAACUGUAUAUAGCAUAAAUUAUCCCCUAAUUAUACGCCAGUGUCGCCCUCAAUUAUCCUCUUAUCAAAAAUGGUUGUCUAAAUGCAGCGUUUAGUUUCAAUUUUCUCCAUUUCUAUAACAAGAACUUGGUACCUUGCUAUUAUUGCCAGGCUUGUUAUUUACUUUGUGGCAUUUAAAAAGUGCACAACCCAGCCGGAUAAUCAUUUUCCAUCAGUGGACCAAGCGAGAAGCACAGAGACAGUUGGUAGAUAUGAAAUAUAUGAAAUGCCUUUUGAUAUUGGAUUUUAAACCAAGGCCUUCAUUAAAAAACCGAGACGUUUUAGGAUACCUCUAUAUGGACAUCAUAUAGUUCUACCCCACCACCAGCACCACUGCCUGUCACCCCCCCAACCCUAUAUUUCUGUUUCUCUUCAUCACCCAAUCCUCCUGUCCCUCUCUUUUCUCCCAUCUCCAUCCUAUUUCUCUUCCAACCACCCCCUCACCCCCUCUCCAUCUCCUCCUCCUCACCUUGCCCCCUCUUUCUCUCUCCCAUUCUCACCCAGACCUCCUCGCCCCUCACUCCCUCUCUCGCUCUCUCACUCCAUCCCCCACCCUCCCCCACCCCCCCCUCUCUCUUGUUGGUUUCCACAGCUGCAGAAAGUGAGGGGAGAGAUGACCGACCAGAGAAUUGGCCCUUCGGAGAGCGGCGGGCCAUCCUGAUGCUAUUAGGCUCGUGGCUAAUAAUAGGCGUUUCAAUCCGGGAGGAGAUCAAUCAGGGGGAAUCAUGGGGAAUGUUCGGAGCAGCACUUUUACACAUCAGCCCAGAUGGAUGAAAUUACACUUGUCUGUUUUUAGUUGCAUUACUCCCAAAUUGGUUGUCUACUUUUUUUCUCUCACUUAUUCUCUCUCUGCCUCUCCGUCCUUCCUCUCUCUCUUUCUUUCUCCACUCAUUCAUGUGUCACUGGGCUACUAAAAGGAUUCAGGCGCAAAAUUCCCUGUCAUUUCUGUCUUGUCCUUUGCUUAGCCGCACUCUCUCGAUUCUCUGUCACUUGCAUAUGGACUUAGCUGACAUCACUUGAGGUCUCGUCUUAUAGGUUGUUUUACUUCCAGUGAUUUGGCUGGGUUAGGUGCAAUGUUAUUCUUUGUAAAAAUGAACUUUUUAGUAAAAAAUAAAAUGAUUUGCACAGUGAAAGGAUAAGUAUUGAAUACCUGAAUAAUGAGUAACAAAUAUCCUUAUUUCAGUACACAUUUGAAUGCAAUAUUGUGUCUAUUCUACUACCACAUAUACUUACAAUCUAUUUGUGUAGGCCUGUGUAGAAUGAAGACAAACUAUUUUCAGACAUGCUUUUUCUUUUAAUAAUAUUACAGCUCCUGAAAUGCAUUGAAUGUAAUAUUUAAUAUUUCAAUCUAAUUGUAUUAAAUCUAAAUAAAUAUUUCAGAAAAUAA